GCCCUGGUAACUCAAUUGGCUAGAGUGUUGGACUUUUAAUCCAGAGGUUGCGGGUUCGACCCCCGCCUGGGGCG
Molecule: transfer RNA, 74 nt
Filed under: Grosmannia clavigera kw1407
Lineage: Eukaryota; Fungi; Ascomycota; Sordariomycetes; Ophiostomatales; Ophiostomataceae
Description: tRNA-Lys (TTT) (tRNA-Lys-TTT-1-1)
Rfam family: tRNA
About the family: Transfer RNA (tRNA) molecules are approximately 80 nucleotides in length. Their secondary structure includes four short double-helical elements and three loops (D, anti-codon, and T loops).
Source: RNAcentral